GUAGGUGGCAAGCGUUGUCCGGAAUUAUUGGGCGUAAAGCGCGCGCAGGCGGUUCUUUAAGUCUGAUGUGAAAGCCCACGGCCCAACCGUGGAGGGUCAUUGGAAACUGGAGAACUUGAGUACAGAAGAGGAAAGCGGAAUUCCACGUGUAGCGGUGAAAUGCGUAGAGAUGUGGAGGAACACCAGUGGCGAAGGCGGCUUUCUGGUCUGUAACUGACGCUGAGGCGCGAAAGCGUGGGGAGCAAACAGGGAUUAGAUACCCUGGUAGUCCACGCCGUAAACGAUGAGUGCUAAGUGUUAGGGGGGUUUCCGCCCCCUUAGUGCUGCAGCUAACGCAUUAAGCACUCCGCCUGGGGAUACGGCCGCAAGGCUG
This 373-nucleotide ribosomal RNA is filed under the name uncultured organism. Its description in RNAcentral is "partial 16S ribosomal RNA". It matches the Rfam family "Bacterial small subunit ribosomal RNA", at positions 527 to 896 of the family's 1533-position model. The record is from RNAcentral.